UUUUGCAACCAUGUUAUCAACUUGAAUGAUGUUUUUUUUGUCUCCUUGACAUUCACUCUUCUCAAAAGUGUUCCCGCAAGCGAAGCCAUAGCACCGGUGGGCAGAGGAAAUAACUGAUGUUACUGGCCAAAAAGUCCCUGAUUUGAAAAUCUGGCUGAUUCCCUGGUUGAUGCCUGACUCAAUCAUAAUAAUCAAGCGCUUCUACCGUCCGAUUGGCUAAGCCGCACCGCCAACUCGGUGCCGUUGAAAGAAGCUAUUAGUCCGCGCAAAAUAAAUUGGAUCUUGUCGCUAUGUACCAGCAUAUGAUUUUUCAUCAGUUAAGAUCGGCCUCGCCUGGAAAUUUGAAUAGGCCUAUGGUGGAAAGGCCUGAGCGCUCUACCCGAGCAAAAGGACAGCGGGGGAAUGAAGGAGAAAGCUCCGAUAUGCCUACUGCUGGCAAAGUCCAAUGGAAGAAGAAGUCAGAAGAGCUGCAGACCCGGAUAGAGUUGCUGGAGGAGGAGAAUGCUUUACUGAAGCGGCAGCUUGAGCAAAGGCCUUCAGCAGAGCAAGGUUUGUAAAGCUAGAGUAUAGUUUUACCUGAGGACUUCAAUACAGUUUUUUAUGAUCGCUUAACCACAGUGGGCACAACUGGAGCGACACGUGCAAAACUCAGCAUGCAGUUCCU
Gadus chalcogrammus (walleye pollock) is the source of this 664-nucleotide long non-coding RNA. RefSeq lists it as uncharacterized. The record is from RefSeq and is a predicted model, not a curated record. Lineage: Eukaryota; Metazoa; Chordata; Actinopteri; Gadiformes; Gadidae. The transcript has 3 exons.